GAUGAACGCUGGCGGCGUGCUUAACACAUGCAAGUCGAACGGGAUCCAUCAAGCUUGCUUGGUGGUGAGAGUGGCGAACGGGUGAGUAAUGCGUGACCGACCUGCCCCAUGCACCGGAAUAGCUCCUGGAAACGGGUGGUAAUGCCGGAUGCUCCAUCACACCGCAUGGUGUGUUGGGAAAGCCUUUGCGGCAUGGGAUGGGGUCGCGUCCUAUCAGCUUGAUGGCGGGGUAACGGCCCACCAUGGCUUCGACGGGUAGCCGGCCUGAGAGGGCGACCGGCCACAUUGGGACUGAGAUACGGCCCAGACUCCUACGGGAGGCAGCAGUGGGGAAUAUUGCACAAUGGGCGCAAGCCUGAUGCAGCGACGCCGCGUGAGGGAUGGAGGCCUUCGGGUUGUAAACCUCUUUUGUUAGGGAGCAAGGCAUUUUGUGUUGAGUGUACCUUUCGAAUAAGCACCGGCUAACUACGUGCCAGCAGCCGCAGUAA
This 488-nucleotide ribosomal RNA is filed under the name uncultured bacterium. RNAcentral's name for it is "partial 16S ribosomal RNA". It matches the Rfam family "Bacterial small subunit ribosomal RNA", at positions 28 to 523 of the family's 1533-position model. The record is from RNAcentral.